CGGUUAAACUGGGGGGCCUAGGUAUAUUUUUAUGGUAAAAAGGUGGUUAGAUAUGUUUAUUAAUUAGUGGUUAUAUAAGUUGCUAUAUAAAAGUUAAAUUUUAAUAUAGACGGAUUAAUCAAAAAUGGCCAUAUUUGUUGAAUCCACGAUAGCUUUGAGGGAAACUAGGAUCUGAUACCCUAUUAUUCUUAGCUGUAAAUAAAUUUUAUAUUUACCAGAGUACUAUGAAUAUUAAUAUUUAAAACUCAAAGGGCUUGGCGGUGUUUUAGACCACUUAGGGGAACCUGUUCCGUAAUCGAUAAUCCGCGGUACACCUUACCUUUUAUUGAGAUCAGCCUGUACACCGUUGUCAUCAGGUAACUUUUUAGAGAACUUAAGUUAGCCGUAGAAUUUGCAAUUAAUUUGUAUGUCAAAUCAAGGUGCAGCUAAUGAAAAGGGGAGGAUGGGUUACAAUUAAAAUUUAUAAGAUGGAUCAGGCAAUGAAAUUUGUUUGUAAAGGAGGACUUAAAAGUAAGAUUAUAUAUAUGAAUAAUCUGAAUCAGGCUCUGAAAUGUGUACAAACCGCCC
RNAcentral lists this ribosomal RNA (567 nucleotides) under Nipponaphera agastor. RNAcentral's name for it is "partial 12S ribosomal RNA". It matches the Rfam family "Microsporidia small subunit ribosomal RNA", at positions 403 to 1197 of the family's 1311-position model. The record is from RNAcentral. Lineage: Eukaryota; Metazoa; Mollusca; Gastropoda; Neogastropoda; Cancellariidae.